UGCAAGUCGAGGGGCAUCGGGAUUGAAGCUUGCUUCAAUUGCCGGCGACCGGCGCACGGGUGCGUAACGCGUAUGUAACCUACCUAUAACAGGGGCAUAACACUGAGAAAUUGGUACUAAUUCCCCAUAAUAUUCGGAGAGGCAUCUCUCCGGGUUGAAAACUCCGGUGGUUAUAGAUGGACAUGCGUUGUAUUAGCUAGUUGGUGAGGUAACGGCUCACCAAGGCAACGAUACAUAGGGGGACUGAGAGGUUAACCCCCCACACUGGUACUGAGACACGGACCAGACUCCUACGGGAGGCAGCAGUGAGGAAUAUUGGUCAAUGGACGCAAGUCUGAACCAGCCAUGCCGCGUGCAGGAAGACGGCUCUAUGAGUUGUAAACUGCUCUUGUACAAGGGUAAACUCACCUACGUGUAGGUGACUGAAAGUAUCGUACGAAUAAGGAUCGGCUAACUCCGUGCCAGCAGCCGCGGUAAUACGGAGGAUUCAAGCGUUAUCCGGAUUUAUUGGGUUUAAAGGGUGCGUAGGCGGUUUGAUAAGUUAGAGGUGAAAUCCCGGGGCUUAACUCCGGAACUGCCUCUAAUACUGUUAGACUAGAGAGUAGUUGCGGUAGGCGGAAUGUAUGGUGUAGCGGUGAAAUGCUUAGAGAUCAUACAGAACACCGAUUGCGAAGGCAGCUUACCAA
This 686-nucleotide ribosomal RNA is filed under the name uncultured bacterium. RNAcentral's name for it is "bacterial SSU rRNA". It matches the Rfam family "Bacterial small subunit ribosomal RNA", at positions 56 to 732 of the family's 1533-position model. The record is from RNAcentral.